RNAcentral lists this ribosomal RNA (776 nucleotides) under Bacillus sp. EestL2. RNAcentral describes it as "bacterial SSU rRNA". It matches the Rfam family "Bacterial small subunit ribosomal RNA", at positions 46 to 801 of the family's 1533-position model. Lineage: Bacteria; Bacillati; Bacillota; Bacilli; Caryophanales; Bacillaceae. The record is from RNAcentral.
GCCUAAUACAUGCAAGUCGAGCGAAUCAUUAGGAGCUUGCUCCUAAUGAUUAGCGGCGGACGGGUGAGUAACACGUGGGCAACCUGCCUAUAAGACUGGGAUAACUUCGGGAAACCGGAGCUAAUACCGGAUAAUCCUUUUCCUCUCAUGAGGAAAAGCUGAAAGACGGUUUCGGCUGUCACUUAUAGAUGGGCCCGCGGCGCAUUAGCUAGUUGGUGAGGUAAUGGCUCACCAAGGCAACGAUGCGUAGCCGACCUGAGAGGGUGAUCGGCCACACUGGGACUGAGACACGGCCCAGACUCCUACGGGAGGCAGCAGUAGGGAAUCUUCCGCAAUGGACGAAAGUCUGACGGAGCAACGCCGCGUGAACGAUGAAGGCCUUCGGGUCGUAAAGUUCUGUUGUUAGGGAAGAACAAGUAUCGGAGUAACUGCCGGUACCUUGACGGUACCUAACCAGAAAGCCACGGCUAACUACGUGCCAGCAGCCGCGGUAAUACGUAGGUGGCAAGCGUUGUCCGGAAUUAUUGGGCGUAAAGCGCGCGCAGGCGGUCUCUUAAGUCUGAUGUGAAAGCCCACGGCUCAACCGUGGAGGGUCAUUGGAAACUGGGGGACUUGAGUGCAGAAGAGGAAAGCGGAAUUCCACGUGUAGCGGUGAAAUGCGUAGAGAUGUGGAGGAACACCAGUGGCGAAGGGCGGCUUUCUGGUCUGUAACUGACGCUGAAGGCGCGAAAGCGUGGGGAGCAAACAGGGAUUAGAUACCCUGGGUAGUCCACGCC